GGUCAGCGAUACCCGGGUACAUGGUGGUGCCACCAGACAGCACGUUGUUGGCGUACAGGUCCUUACGGAUGUCGAUGUCACACUUCAUGAUGCUGUUGUAGGCGGUCUCAUGGAUACCAGCGGACUCCAUACCUGUCCCAGUGCACAGCAGAGACGUUCACUCGGUUCCUGUCCCUGGACACUGACAUGUAAAAGGCCACCCACUCCUCCUACAGUGGAACAAGACCCCCUUCCCAGAACGCACAAUGACCAAAACAACUUAUUUGUGUCUCUUUAUUGUUGUUUUUGUCUCUGUCUCUUUAUUAUUUGUUUUUUGUAUCAAUAAAGCUUACAUAUACUGCCAUCACAAAACCU
Monopterus albus (swamp eel) is the source of this 354-nucleotide long non-coding RNA. RefSeq lists it as uncharacterized. The record is from RefSeq and is a predicted model, not a curated record. NCBI's taxonomy places the organism in Eukaryota, Metazoa, Chordata, Actinopteri, Synbranchiformes, Synbranchidae. The transcript has 3 exons.